This 445-nucleotide ribosomal RNA is filed under the name uncultured bacterium. RNAcentral describes it as "partial 16S ribosomal RNA". It matches the Rfam family "Bacterial small subunit ribosomal RNA", at positions 354 to 796 of the family's 1533-position model. The record is from RNAcentral.
GUGAGGAAUAUUGGUCAAUGGGCGCAAGCCUGAACCAGCCAUGCCGCGUGCAGGAAGACGGUCCUAUGGAUUGUAAACUGCUUUUAUUUGGGAAUAAACUCCGGUACGUGUACCGGCCUGAAGGUACCAAAUGAAUAAGCACCGGCUAACUCCGUGCCAGCAGCCGCGGUAAUACGGAGGGUGCAAGCGUUAUCCGGAAUCAUUGGGUUUAAAGGGUCCGCAGGCGGUCUUAUAAGUCAGUUGUGAAAGCCUACAGCUCAACUGUAGAACUGCCAUUGAUACUGUAGGACUUGAAUUCGAUCGAAGUGGGCGGAAUGUGACAUGUAGCGGUGAAAUGCUUAGAUAUGUCACAGAACACCGAUAGCGAAGGCAGCUCACUAGGUCUGGAUUGACGCUCAGGGACGAAAGCGUGGGGAGCAAACAGGAUUAGAAACCCGGGUAGUCC